GGGGUGACGGCGUGCCUUUUGAAGAAUGAGCCUGCGAGUUAGUGGCAUGUGGCGAGGUUAACCCGGGUGGGGGAGCCGUAGCGAAAGCGAGUCUGAAUAGGGCGUUUGAGUCGCGUGUCCUAGACCCGAAGCGGAGUGAUCUAGCCAUGGGCAGGCUGAAGCGUGGGUAAGACUGCGUGGAGGGCCGAACCCACCAACGUUGAAAAGUUGGGGGAUGACCUGUGGUUAGGGGUGAAAGGCCAAUCAAACUCCGUGAUAGCUGGUUCUCCCCGAAAUGCAUUUAGGUGCAGCGUCGUGUGUUUCUUGCCGGAGGUAGAGCACUGGAUGGUCUAGGGGGCCUACAAGCUUACCGAAAUCAGCCAAACUCCGAAUGCCGGUAAGUGAGAGCGCGGCAGUGAGACUGCGGGGGAUAAGCUUCGUAGUCGAGAGGGAAACAGCCCAGAUCACCAGCUAAGGCCCCUAAGCGUGUGCUAAGUGGAAAAGGAUGUGGGGUCGCAUAGACAACCAGGAGGUUGGCUUAGAAGCAGCCAUCCUUGAAAGAGUGCGUAAUAGCUCACUGGUCAAGUGGUUCCGCGCCGACAAUGUAGCGGGGCUCAAGCACACCGCCGAAGCUGUGGCAUUCACGCGUGUACUUCGCAUGGCCUUUGGGUUGUGUGUAGGUGUGUGGAUGGGUAGGGGAGCGUCGUGCCGGGGGUGAAGCAGCCGAGUGAUCGAGUUGUGGACGCGGUGCGAGUGAGAAUGCAGGCAUGAGUAGCGAAAGAAGGGUGAGAAACCCUUCCGCCGGAUGACCAAGGGUUCCAGGGCCAGGUUAAUCCGCCCUGGGUGAGUCGGGGCCUAAGGCGAGGCCGAGAGGCGUAGUCGAUGGAUAACGGGUUGAUAUUCCCGUACCCGCGAAGGAGCGUCCCUGAUGAACUUCGUUGUGCUAACCAUCCGAGCUUGGUGUGGUCUUCGGACUGUGCUGGGGGAGCGUGGGAACCUGGCGGGUAGUAGUCAAGCGAUGGGGUGACGCAGGAAGGUAGCUGAGCCCGGCCGGUGGUUGUGCCGGGGUAAGCGUGUAGGCUGUGUCGUAGGUAAAUCCGCGGCGCGUGUGGCUGAGACGUGAUGCCGAGCCGAUUCAGGUGAAGUCAGUGAUCCUAUGCUGUCGAGAAAAGCCUCUAGCGAGUUCCGAGCGGCCCGUACCCUAAACCGACACAGGUGGUCAGGUAGAGAAUACCAAGGCGAUCGGGUGAACUGUGGUUAAGGAACUCGGCAAAUUGCCCCCGUAACUUUGGGAGAAGGGGGGCCGGAGACGUGAAGGCACGUGCUGCUGGAGCGUUGUAUGGCCGCAGAGAGCAGGGGGAAGCGACUGUUUACUAAAAACACAGGUCCAUGCGAAGAAGUAAUUCGAUGUAUAUGGACUGACGCCUGCCCGGUGCUGGAACGUUAAGGGGACCUGUUAGUCUUUCGGGGCGAAGCGGAGAACUUAAGCGCCAGUAAACGGCGGUGGUAACUAUAACCAUCCUAAGGUAGCGAAAUUCCUUGUCGGGUAAGUUCCGACCUGCACGAAUGGCGUAACGACUUCCCCACUGUCUCAACCACAGGCCCGGCGAAAUUGCAUUACGAGUAAAGAUGCUCGUUACGCGCGGCAGGACGGAAAGACCCCGGGACCUUUACUAUAGCUUGACAUUGGUAUCUGAAUUAGCUUGUGUAGGAUAGGUGGGAGCCGGUGAAGUGUGCACGCCAGUGCAUGUGGAGGCAAUCUUGAAAUACCACUCUGGUUGGUUUGGGUAUCUAACUUCGGACCGUUAUCCGGUUCAGGGACAGUGUCUGGUGGGUAGUUUAACUGGGGCGGUUGCCUCCUAAAGGGUAACGGAGGCGCCCAAAGGUUCCCUCAGCCUGGUUGGCAAUCAGGUGUUGAGUGUAAGUGCACAAGGGAGCUUGACUGUGAGACUGACGGGUCGAGCAGGGACGAAAGUCGGGACUAGUGAUCCGGCACUGGCGAAUGGAAGCGGUGUCGCUCAACGGAUAAAAGGUACCCCGGGGAUAACAGGCUGAUCUUCCCCAAGAGUCCAUAUCGACGGGAUGGUUUGGCACCUCGAUGUCGGCUCGUCGCAUCCUGGGGCUGUAGCAGGUCCCAAGGG
RNAcentral lists this ribosomal RNA (2120 nucleotides) under Salinispora pacifica CNS996. Its description in RNAcentral is "bacterial LSU rRNA". It matches the Rfam family "Bacterial large subunit ribosomal RNA", at positions 590 to 2571 of the family's 2925-position model. Lineage: Bacteria; Bacillati; Actinomycetota; Actinomycetes; Micromonosporales; Micromonosporaceae. The record is from RNAcentral.